Long non-coding RNA from Eriocheir sinensis (Chinese mitten crab), 872 nucleotides. RefSeq lists it as uncharacterized. The transcript has 4 exons. Lineage: Eukaryota; Metazoa; Arthropoda; Malacostraca; Decapoda; Varunidae. The record is from RefSeq and is a predicted model, not a curated record.
UUUAGUGUCGAUGGUAGGCAUUGAGACAGCUGCUGUGCUCUGUACUUCUUUCGUCCUUGGUGCCGCUGACUUCAGGACUCCUUGGUGCAUCCCUCUAAUGUGUAUAUUAUAUUAUACAUGUGAAUGUGUGAAUGUAUGUCGUUACGCCAUGGCACAGCGGCGCCAGGACGUUACACGUAGACGCUACGUUGUGCUUAGGAGGUGCUUCUUGCCGUGGGAACGGUGUUGAUUCAGCAAGCCUGGUGCCCCGGCCCGCUCCUGCGCCGGGAGAAGCCGGCAGAUAUUAGCGGGCGGCGGGCGAGAGCAGAGGACUUCUCGGGGUGUGCGUACGACUUACGACUCGUCCACAAAAUACUCUCAGUAUGCGCCUGACAAAUGAGGGAGGUGGACAUGCCUGAUUUUGCUGCAGGCGCUCUCAUUUAUGACCACAUGGAUGAAAUAUCAAAUAUCCCGUCGACUACAUUUUAUGGCAGACAGAUUGACAGGCUACGUGCAAGAGAUCAAGAAUAUGCGCAAGAAAUCAACCUAGAAAAUGAAGAAAGUGAUGUGGAACCUGAAGAAGAGGAGGUAGAUGACCCUGUCAUGCCCACAAAUCUACUCACUGAUACAGCACAGACUGAAGAUAUUCAUGCUGAAAGGGCUACCUUUGAUGCAGAAGCAUACCUGCCACUCUCAGAAGAUGAUACUGUUGUUUUGGAGGUUGCAGAAGCUACAGUGGACAAUGAAUUUCUAGUUCAGUUCUAGUUAAGGAGUUGAAAAUGUUAUUUUUUUACUAUAUCAGUAUUUGAUGCAAAAUGACAUCAAAACUGCUUUAUAUGUACAUUGUAACCACUGUUUAACAAAAAUAAACACUUAAUCAAGUCAAAGACGAC